Molecule: long non-coding RNA, 1190 nt
Organism: Homo sapiens (human)
Lineage: Eukaryota; Metazoa; Chordata; Mammalia; Primates; Hominidae
Product: long intergenic non-protein coding RNA 1980
Source: Ensembl
GGGUUCAUCUUCAUGAGGUGUAAUGGCGCCGGGAUGCGCUCUCCUCUUCUCAUUUGCCAAUUUAUUGCAGAUCCCUCCUCAAAAAAGUUUUGGGACUAACUCAGCCCCAUGGAGAUCAAGGUGAAUUAGAAAAACAACAAAACAAAACAAGAUUCAUUUUAACAUCUCAUUUUUCUAUCUCCAACUUUCCCUCCCCUCCUCCCACCCCAGGAAGAAAAGACUACGUUUGUUUCUGGUGAUACAUUCAUUGUAGGUGGGUGGGUGACUUCUAGAAGAGGAAAAUCAAGAAGAUUUGGAGAAGGAGUCUUGGAAGCUCUGGUGAAGUUUUCCAAAACUGGGAAGGACAGAGCCACAGGUCUGCCUGUUCUUUUGCUUUGCCAUUUGUGUGGAUACCUAGUAGAGCAAUUUGGGUGCCAUUCUUUGAGGAAUCCAUUGGAUCUGUCAGAAAGCUGAGUCUGCUCAGCCUGUGUUAGUGGAGAAGAGGGAAGGAAACUGGCUGGAGGCCGCUGGACCCACAGAGGACAAUAGACAAUCUCCUGCUUGGAAGAAAAAGAAAAUGAGACCCAGAAGACCCAAAUCACAAAUCAAAAGGACCUCACAGAAGAUUCUACAAUUGAGAUUAUUUAUCCUGGCUAAGAAGGAAUCAGUGGCCUUAAGAAGACAAUCUUGAAAAAGGACCUAAGUGAUGGAUGCCCACUGGAUCCAAAGAGAGAAACUCUAUAGAAUUAUGAUCUAGGUUUGACUGACUCCUGGCAAGAAGCCCUACCCGCCAGCCAAUUUGGAUGAGAUGCCAUCAGCGACCUGCCCGUAUCGCCUUGCCCCACCGAGAAGUCAGGCCACAGACAGUUCCUGUAUAUAGCAGUGCUUCUUUUGGCUUCUGUCUGUCACAGGGGUCAUCCAUCUUUCCUUCUAUGUGACUGGUUUGCUCUUGCAUAUCAUGUUUUCCGCUCUUAUGCUCCAGAUCCAUCAUGAGAAGAACAUGCCCUGGAUUCCUGCUAUCCCUUUAGCCAUGGCUCCAAAAUUAACACACACAAGGAAGACCUGAGGUCAAUCCACAGCCUGGAUUCAAGUCACCUAAUACAUAGGAGAAUCAGAGCUACCCAGCCACACUCAAUCUACGUUAACUGAACCUCAGCUGACCUGCAGAUUUAUGAGUAUGAGAAUAAAGGCUUGUUAAUGUAUAUCAUUAA